RNAcentral lists this ribosomal RNA (538 nucleotides) under uncultured bacterium. RNAcentral describes it as "bacterial SSU rRNA". It matches the Rfam family "Bacterial small subunit ribosomal RNA", at positions 358 to 916 of the family's 1533-position model. The record is from RNAcentral.
GGAAUCUUGCACAAUGGAGGAAACUCUGAUGCAGCGAUGCCGCGUGAGUGAAGAAGGCCUUUGGGUUGUAAAGCUCUUUUGUAGGGGAAGAUAAUGACUGUACCCUAAGAAUAAGGUCCGGCUAACUUCGUGCCAGCAGCCGCGGUAAUACGAAGGGACCUAGCGUAGUUCGGAAUUACUGGGCGUAAAGCGCGCGUAGGCCGUUGAGUUAGUUAAUUGUGAAAUCCCAAAGCUUAACUUUGGAACUGCAAUUAAAACUGCUCGACUAGAGUUUGAUAGAGGAAAGCGGAAUACAUAGUGUAGAGGUGAAAUUCGUAGAUAUUAUGUAGAACACCAGUUGCGAAGGCGGCUUUCUGGAUCAACACUGACGCUGAGGCGCGAAAGUAUGGGUAGCAAAGAGGAUUAGAUACCCUCGUAGUCCAUACCAUAAACGAUGAUUGCUAGAUGUUGGAAACUUAUUUUCAGUAUCGCAGCUAACGCAUUAAGCAAUCCGCCUGGGGAGUACGACCGCAGGGUUAAAACUCAAAUGAAUUGACGG